UAAAGGGUGGGAAUAUAAUUUUCCCCAGUAAUUUCCCUACCUGGACUGCUUAGAUGGGUUUGCAGUCAGCGGAGGCUUUCAGUAGGAGUGUGGUGUAGCAACAGAGAAUCUGCUAUUAGAUAUUCUUCAGGGCUUUUUACUUUCACAAGCUCUAGAAAGGGGAGAGUAUACCAGAGCAUGCUCAGGGCAGGUGGAGCUUUCUAAAAUGCCUUUGUUGGAUGUUUAUCUUUUUCAAAGGGAAAAGGAAGAAUUAAUAGGGAUUUUCUGAUGUGUUUUGUAAGGGCUCUCAACAACAGGCAAGCUGUCUUGUUUGUCUUUUUCCUUGUCCUUCCUUUAACUAUCUCUUCUUUCUUUAGCUAUCAACUGGAUUUAAGAUAGUGGGAUUUGUGUACAAUGCUUUGCUGAGUGGCUGUGUACCACGUGAAUCAUCAGCACAUAUAGCCUGCUGGUGUGACUCUGUUGUACAUCACGUUCCUGCUUGCAAAAUCUGUCUGCAGAAGAAAUUUACAAAGAAAGAGUGCUGAUCAGAAAAGGUGCAGGUCUAUAAAAUUCAGUGGGAUACAGACCUAUCCAUUGUCACAAAAGCUUGCACAUCUCUAACUCUGUUUAUAUGAGCAAUCCAUGAGUUUCCAUGGAAUCACUCUUGGAAGUAAAAUUAAGACUAUGUGUGCAUCUCCCUGAGCUGUGUUUAACUUUCCUUAAUUGUCAUGUCCAAAUUAUGAACAUUACUGCAACAGUCAUAUGCAUAAGCAAGGGGAUAUUUUCAGGCGUCUAAGAUGAAACAGGGUAAAUUUUCUUCCUUUCACUCUGAAUAUCUUCUUCUAAACUGUCUGAAAGAGAUCACUGCAUUUCUGGGUAGUAAUAGCGAGGGGAACAAAGCCAGCUCUGAUGCUAUUAUAGUUAGUGGGGGACCGUGGCCAUGCCUGAAGUGGGCAAAACUGUCCCAGGAGGUGACCUGUACAGAUAAGGCAUUUCCUUUAAAUGUCAGCAUAAACUGGCUUUCUAGAAUAAAGGCAUCAUUAUAUUUCUGGAUUGAUAUUUACUUUUAGAAAAUAAGUCUCAAAGGAGAAAGAACAUUUUGGUGUUUUCUUCCCCACUGUUGAAGUCUUAUGUGUAGUAGGUUGCUCAAAGCCACAGAGCCCUUAGGAGUGAGUGGUGACUGUCCCAGCAACACUCUAGGAGGGCCCAAUGUCUUCUUGCCUUUACUAAGUUUGUAAUACAUGUAGGCAAGAGCAGAUAAAUUGUCCAGCCCCUGGGGCUCACCAGUCAUCUGCUACAGACUCCAAAUACUAACGCUGCAUGCAUAUUAUACAACAAAGUGCUCCUAAAUCUCCACUCACUGCUGAUUUGCAUACAUGAAAAACAAAGCAGUGGUAACAAGUCUGGUAGAGUAUCUUAACUGGGAAUGGGGGCCCAGCACACUCAGGACUCUGAGGAGCCAUCUGGUCUCCCAGUGACCACCUACAAAUUCGUGCCCUAGUGAGACAAAAGACAUUUGCACUGGUACCAGCCAUGCUGGGAUUUUCAGACUAGAAAUGAAGCAUGAAGUAAAAUGCACCCAGAGCCUUCAUUAGGUGAAACAAACAGAGGAGUUGGUGUUUUCAGUAAUAAUUGCAAAGGACCUCGCAGUCUGUACGAUCUGCUCCAGGGGGAGUUUUCUCUCAUCCCUGGCAGGAUUACCAAUGCACCCUCUGCUGCAGCAGUGAGUGGAGUGAACAGAUCUCAGAGGGCGGGUGUGGAACUCCAUGGCAUGUUAGGUGUCUCAAAAAUAGGCUCGAAUGUUUUAUUCUCUUUCUGCUUGUCUUUGAUACUAUUUAUGUUAAGGCAAAUCUGGAUGUAUAAUGUUGCCGUAAAUAAUUGAAGAGCCACAGUCCCUGAAAGUGUUUUCUGUAAUGCACUCACAGCCAUUUGGAAUUUCAGUAUGAGAAUUGUUGGAACAACUGCAGCGUCCUUAUUUUAGAUGUGGGAGGAAGAGAGAACACCAAGCAUAGUCCAGCUAGGGAGGAAAAUUGAAAUGUUAUCAGAUUAAAAUGAUGCUGUCCAAGAUCUUCUUCAGUGCCAGAAGUACCUUAGGUACGUUCCCAAGCUAACUUAGAAAAGGGGAACCUAAAAAAAGAGGGAAGAGGUAACUUUACAUCAUGAAUUCACAAGUGUGUUUUGAAGUUCAGAAUAAGAACUACUUUCAAGGUAAUUUGUAGCAGUCCAGCAGCUGCUGUGUCAUACAGUACUCCAUCACUCCUGAGCCAUUGAAACACCUCUGAUGCAAGACAGCAGUGCCCCAGUCCAGACCCUGCUCACGCUCUUCAUUGCUAUUUACACUGUGGUUGCACCUAGGAGCUUUAGCCACGUGUCAUAGACUUACAGUACCAAAUGGAGGUCAAACUAGAAUAGAAAGUCCCAUUUCUAGACUUACAGUUUUUAUAUAUGCCAAGAGACAGCCAAGAGGAGAUGGAGAGACAGAAUUGAGCAAUGCCCAGCUGGGCUAGCACUGUCAUUUGUGCCAUGGUCUGAGUGCAGAAGGAAGCCCCUUACUCCUGGGUAUGUAUCCUCAAAGGCACUGCAGUGAGCUGGUGAAAGAUCUGGUUACCUUGCAGAAGCAGCAAGCAGGGCACUGAUGAACGAUUCUCAGGCUCUGGUUCUCUAGAUACCCCAAGACUGUGGCCAGGAGAUGGAUGCUUUUCCUUCUCCUGGCAUCUCUGCUCCUUCCUAUCUGCAGUGCCCCCCUCACUCUGCCUUUUCUACCUAGGAUGUCAUGUAGCCCUACCUUACUAGGCAUAGAGUACCUGAGUAGGCUAGUUGUCCUGGUCCAGGCUUAAGCUCUUCUUGCAAUGUUGCAGAUUUCUCUAGCAGCACCUUUGCCUGAGUGAUGAGGCUGUGCUCAAGGAUCUUGCACAUUUUCCCCUUUUGCACCAGGGCACAACUCAGAGCUAUGAGUCCCUCAUGCCAUGGAGUGGUCUUUAGCACCAGGAGGUACUGAGCUUACUGCAGAUUUUUGAAAGAGCUUCUUCUGACAAAGAAUUCUUAUUUUUGUGCAAAAUGUUUCCUGCAUUCUCUACUAAAUUUGAUCUUGUUUUCACAAAGAGAAUCUCUAGCCUCUUUAAAUUCGGUUUGUGCUAGAGGAGAAGUGUGAAAUACAUUAAGUGGAUGAAAGAAGCCAAACUAGCAUAGGGAUAGACUGUUCAAGGGACUUAAAUUCUAACUAUAAAUUAUUUAAAACUCUGCAUCUGAAUUUACAAUAUCCAUUUAAAUCAUCCUGUGUAUUCUAUAAUUUGAGGUAAGACUUAGAGAGACAUUCAGCCUGCUGCCCUGUGCUCAGCAGCUCUCUUUCUUUCCUUCUCUUGCUGGUUAAGUACCAGACUGCUUUCUCUUUCCCUCUGAUCAUUCUACAUUUAAAGUUCCCUUUAGGUGGACUUUAAACACUUUGAAUGCGAGUUCACAUUAUUCUCCUGUAAGCAAAAGCCCUCUCCUUUUUUUUUUUUUGAGACUUAUGUGCUUAGCCCAGUGCAGACAGAGAUACAUGAGGAAAGGUACGUAUGUGCUUUAUUCACUCCCCUGCUAAUAUUAAGGCUUGAUUCAAUACCGAGUUGAAGACUGCUGCUGUUUUCCUCAUUUUUCACUCGAGAGGGGAAUGUGGAUACACACAGCCACGCUCAUGGUAUCAUCUUCCUUAUCCCUGUAGUAAAUUGGCCUGGCUCAGAAAAAGAGGCUCUUUUUCCUCAAAUAUGAGUGUUAGGCUUGGGAUCCAAGGCUCUGCUUACUGACUUGGAGAGGUUUUCAGUCUGCUACUGAAAGUGCUAAAUCCUACACUUCCGUUAAGUGGUUGCAGGAAAAACCAUCCCCCAGCCAUGUGGGUUUUAAAACUAUUUUAAUAUAUUUUUAAGUGCUUUAACACUGUCCCUAAUACGUGAUGGGCAAUCUCUAAGCCUGGAUGUCAGACAAAAUAUCAAUAAAAGCCAUUGCUUCUGCUGAAAAGAAAACCUCAUGCGGCUUCUUGUGCAGCCAUUGCAUUUGUAAAUCACUUGGGCACAUGAUCUCUUAGUGGUAUCUUGUUUCCAACUCGCAAAAUGAUGCAAGGUGAUUGGGCUCCACACGCUCACUGCCACUCUCCCCCCUUCCCUUCUCUCUGUGAUUUUCCUUCCCCCUAGUUUCUCUGGCAGAGGAAGCCCAGCUUGCACCAGCCUUUUCCAGCCGAGGGGCAGCAGGCGCAGAGUGGUUUCAUGUGCUCCUUGCUCCUAGAAAAGGCAGGGUCGGUGAUUUGUUCCUGUCUCCAUCAUGGAGAGAGACUUUGGCGGAGGGAAAAAGCAAACCAUCUGCAUUCCCUGGGACAUCAGCGGAGUCAUGGACGAUGAGGAUGAGAAGCAGUUUUGCCCGAAGCAAUGGGAAAAGGAACAAGAUGGCACAAACAACAUCAGCUUCUCACAAGAAUAAUUACACUUCUCCUGAGCAAAAUGAAGAGCAAAAUAAAAACCUGGAAACAACAAAUAAAGGAAGUGAGGAUACAAAUCUUUAUAACAGUGAACAGUAUACAUUUCUUAUCAUAACAGUCUGCCUUUCUUACUGUACUCAGUUUAGUCUCCACUAAAAUAAAUCUUGAAGUAUGCAUUUAUACUUGCAUGUAAAAGUUUCCACCCUCCCUCCAUAACACCACAUUCAAAGUCCACAAAGUCAAGGCUACUAAUAGUUGAAAACAGUAUACCCUAAAGAGAUAUACAAUAAGAUAUGUGUACAAAUGCAAUUUUCUUUUGCAAUCAUGUGCGUAUCCUGCCAGAGGAGGUCAACCCCACUAUGUUUCGAAAUCCAGUGAAGAACAGGCAUGUGAGGUGAAGGUACUGAGGGUACAGUAAGCUUUUCUAACUCUUUUUGUGACUUUUUUCAUGAACAUUUAUAUCACACGCUGAAAUGACAUCAAAUAGAGUUGCUUUUGACUCC
This is a long non-coding RNA of Pezoporus occidentalis (night parrot), 4929 nucleotides long. RefSeq lists it as uncharacterized. The record is from RefSeq and is a predicted model, not a curated record. NCBI's taxonomy places the organism in Eukaryota, Metazoa, Chordata, Aves, Psittaciformes, Psittacidae. The transcript has 2 exons.